This is a long non-coding RNA of Numida meleagris (helmeted guineafowl), 550 nucleotides long. RefSeq lists it as uncharacterized. The transcript is spliced from 4 exons. The record is from RefSeq and is a predicted model, not a curated record. Lineage: Eukaryota; Metazoa; Chordata; Aves; Galliformes; Numididae.
AGGCCUCCUGGUUUGUGCCAAGGUUAAGUUUGUGGACUUCCAGCUGAGGCACGUGAGCCCAAGAUCUCCACCUGCUGAGGUAAUCAGCCAGCCCAGGCCUACAGGUAGCUGCAAGAAGCUUAACGUGUGGAGAAACUAACUUCUCCUUACAAAGAUAUGAUUCUAACUAUUUCGACCAGACUGUCUUGGGGCCCUACCUCUCAGGAACUGAGUGCUGGAAAACCUCCACUGGAAAAAAACAAAAAACCAAAAAAACAACAACACCCUUUUAAAAGAGAGGAUAUCAGAAGUAUACAUCUUUUAUCCAUGCCCCACACACUUGCAUGUGAAGGGAGAGCACCAGCUGUUUUUCUCAUGGAGGCACUAUGGAAAACACACCUCUCAAACUGGGGCUCACAGCCAGGACAACUGGUGAUGGUGACACAAAAAAGCAACUCAUCACAGAGCUUACUCACCUCAAUGACUAAGUCAUUCUGCAUGACUUCAUAAUCUAAUGCAUCCAGAUAAGCUGCAAACAAAUGGAGGAGACAAAUUAUAAUAAAAAGAUGGU